Long non-coding RNA from Portunus trituberculatus (swimming crab), 316 nucleotides. RefSeq lists it as uncharacterized. The transcript has 3 exons. The record is from RefSeq and is a predicted model, not a curated record. Lineage: Eukaryota; Metazoa; Arthropoda; Malacostraca; Decapoda; Portunidae.
UCCGUGACAUCUAAAGGCAAAAGAUAUGUCUACCGUAAAGCUUGCAAUGACCUUGAAACACAUCACCAGUCAUUAUUUUGAAGCUUGCGUGACCUUAACGUGGCAUGAUAAAGCCUGUAAUGACCUUGGAACGUAUGCGAUAUGGAGAGCUGUGGUCGGGGCGUGGAGUAAUUAAGAGUCAGGGAUGAGGCGAAGGGACCACCUCACCUCGGCACCUGACUGACAUAUCCUGGAGCUGAGGGUUACCUGAGCCGAGACUUGGCAGACUUCUUUAAACAAGGACAAAAGAAUAAAGAAGAAAGAAAAGAAGAGCAGC